AGGUACUGGCGGACACUCCGGUACCUCCGCGCCGUCCGCACCCACCUGACGGCUGCUCGCUACGUUUUGUUAGCC
RNAcentral lists this small RNA (75 nucleotides) under Xanthomonas campestris. Its description in RNAcentral is "sX9 sRNA". It matches the Rfam family "Xanthomonas sRNA sX9". The record is from RNAcentral. Lineage: Bacteria; Pseudomonadati; Pseudomonadota; Gammaproteobacteria; Lysobacterales; Lysobacteraceae.